CAUUUAGCCUUCAUCUGGGCCUAUUGAACUACGUGCUUUGGCAUAGGCCAACGAACUACAUGACACCAAUUCUCACUUAAGCUCAUUUCAGGUUGUCAGAGAUGCAGCAAAAACGCGCAGAUAUGCUGCUCAAAAGAACACACAGGAAAUACAAACAGAAGACGACUUAACUGGGUCUGAUGGUUUAUGUCAUUUAAAACUCACCUGAGAAAAAAAUAAUGGUUUCCGAUUUGAUGGAUGCGUUGAUGACAUGGAGAAAAGGCAUUAAGAAUAUUGUUCGAGUCUGUUUAUCAUUAAACGACUGUUUUGUGAAGGUCCAAAUAAAACCGCAGUUUGAUUUCCCCAGUGCAAACCGUAACUUUUGGACGGUGGAUGAAACCAAAGUCACGCCAAAGAUGCUGCGACGACACUUCGAGUGUUUGCGUUAUGUCUUCCCUCAUUUGUACGAAAACAUGGACAAUCACACUGCGAAGAGAAAGAAGAGAAGAACCAGCAAAUGUCCAACGGCAGAAAAGUUUAGCUGCUAGUUUUCCAGAGUCUCUGUUGCAGCGGGAAAGCAGCGCCCCCGUGAGGCUCACACCUGUACUUGGUCAAAGAGUGAACCUUGAGUUUCUGGGGAUAGACCAUCGAGACCUUGGUUUGGAGAGCACGAUGAAAACAUGGAACCUGCCCAUGCAAACGGGUGCUUACACUAAUUUUAGUGGACCAUUUAGUUCUAACUGGUACCAAAUAAAUGGAUGCCGUUUAGCCUUGAAAAUGCAUCCAGUGUCUCUGUCCUAUUGUGCAUCACCUGAGAGUGGUCAGCAAAUCACUUCAAAUGCUAUGUCCUCUUGGGCCUAAUUGUAAAUCUGCACUUAAUUUUUUAAAACACUUUUAACCUUUGUAUACAGGAUUAUACAUGUUUCUUAAUGCAUGUACUUUUUUUUGUAACGUCGGUCAAAUGUUUGCUAGAUUCUCCUUGCCAAAUAAAGGACUAUAGUG
Molecule: long non-coding RNA, 981 nt
Filed under: Danio rerio (zebrafish)
Lineage: Eukaryota; Metazoa; Chordata; Actinopteri; Cypriniformes; Danionidae
Description: lncRNA si:ch211-239d6.3 (ENSDARG00000101183.2)
Source: RNAcentral